RNAcentral lists this ribosomal RNA (371 nucleotides) under uncultured bacterium. Its description in RNAcentral is "bacterial SSU rRNA". It matches the Rfam family "Bacterial small subunit ribosomal RNA", at positions 527 to 896 of the family's 1533-position model. The record is from RNAcentral.
GUAGGUGGCAAGCGUUGUCCGGAAUUAUUGGGCGUAAAGCGCGCGCAGGCGGUUUCUUAAGUCUGAUGUGAAAGCCCACGGCUCAACCGUGGAGGGUCAUUGGAAACUGGGAGACUUGAGUGCAGAAGAGAAGAGCGGAAUUCCACGUGUAGCGGUGAAAUGCGUAGAGAUGUGGAGGAACACCAGUGGCGAAGGCGGCUCUUUGGUCUGUAACUGACGCUGAGGCGCGAAAGCGUGGGGAGCGAACAGGAUUAGAUACCCUGGUAGUCCACGCCGUAAACGAUGAGUGCUAAGUGUUAGAGGGUUUCCGCCCUUUAGUGCUGCAGCAAACGCAUUAAGCACUCCGCCUGGGGAGUACGGCCGCAAGGCUG